GAAUGUCCAAAGAAUGGUCGGGUACAACAACUCGGCCCGGGUGCAACAAGGAUACAAGUGGGAUGCCAUGCAGCUCGGCAAACAGCCGAUCAAUGAAUGAAUGCGAUGCACCGGUAUCAAACAAUGCUCUAACUCGAAUACUAUGAAGUAAAAUGGUACCUGCGACCACAUUCUCGGCUGCCGCCGCCUCCUCAGUCUGGGCCGCGUACAUGCGCCCGCUCGGGGCCUGUCGUGACCCCUCCGCCUGCCGCAGAACUGGCGGCCGCCCUGCCUGGUGAUGCGCAGAAGAUGUCCCCUGACUGGGACCUGGCGAUGCUGGAGCAGAUGCCGAAGAUGGCGCUGGCGCUGGACUCCCCGGACAGUCUGACUGGAAGUGGCCCUCCUGGCCACACAAGAAGCACCUGCCCCGGUUGCGUGUACACUGUCGUGGGUAAUGAGGACCACCACAGAUCACGCAGCGGGGAGCCUGACGACGAUCGGGUCCUCCUCGUUGAGUAGACGAGCCGCGUCCUCGCAACUGGCUC
This 524-nucleotide long non-coding RNA is filed under the name Ananas comosus (pineapple). RNAcentral describes it as "long non-coding RNA (ACOM_LNC038779)". Lineage: Eukaryota; Viridiplantae; Streptophyta; Magnoliopsida; Poales; Bromeliaceae. The record is from RNAcentral.